UACACUCCUACGGGAGGCAGCAGUGGGGAAUUUUGGACAAUGGGCGAAAGCCUGAUCCAGCAAUGCCGCGUGAGUGAAGAAGGCCUUCGGGUUGUAAAGCUCUUUUGUCAGGGAAGAAACGGUGAAAGCUAAUAUCUUUUGCUAAUGACGGUACCUGAAGAAUAAGCACCGGCUAACUACGUGCCAGCAGCCGCGGUAAUACGUAGGGUGCAAGCGUUAAUCGGAAUUACUGGGCGUAAAGCGUGCGCAGGCGGUUUUGUAAGUCUGAUGUGAAAUCCCCGGGCUCAACCUGGGAAUUGCAUUGGAGACUGCAAGGCUAGAAUCUGGCAGAGGGGGGUAGAAUUCCACGUGUAGCAGUGAAAUGCGUAGAUAUGUGGAGGAACACCGAUGGCGAAGGCAGCCCCCUGGGUCAAGAUUGACGCUCAUGCACGAAAGCGUGGGGAGCAAACAGGAUUAGAUACCCGUGUAGUCCCAUGAU
RNAcentral lists this ribosomal RNA (478 nucleotides) under uncultured organism. Its description in RNAcentral is "partial 16S ribosomal RNA". It matches the Rfam family "Bacterial small subunit ribosomal RNA", at positions 332 to 801 of the family's 1533-position model. The record is from RNAcentral.